GUCUUUUUGCUCUGUUUGUGUAUUGCGUAGCACAGUGGAGUCCUGGUCCAUGACUAGGGCUCCAUAUGCACUACAGUAAUAUAAAUGAUAAAUAAUUUGCAUAGGGCAUGGAACAGCUUUCAGGUAACUAUAUUUUUUGCUACUGACCUGAGUCAGAUUUGAACAGGUGAUCUGACUAUUUCAAUCCUCUUUUCAUUUCCUUGGACUACUCAGCCCUUCCCAGGAAUAGUUUGCAAAUUUAUUUAUACAGUGCCCCAAAUGUGCAUGGCACUUCAGAGAAAUAAGACAUUUUCCCUGCCCUGAAGAGCUUACUAUCUGAAUUGACCAGAAGAAAUCGAGAAGUUUGGUAAACAUUGUGGUGGGGAGGAGAAGGGAAUACAGAGCUUGUAGCAUGCUGAUCAUGUGGUUGCCUUGGUGAAUGAAGUACUCCUGUUAGAUUAAAUUUUUAGUGUUUUUAGGCAUAUCCUUAAUACAACUUGUUGGUGUUAAGUCGUGAUCUGCGAUAGAAGAGAUGAAUGGACAGUAAAAUGAAGAGCAAAACAUGGGUACGGAUUUAGAAUGUACAUGUCCAUUAUUCGUUCUAGUGAUGUUUGCUGUUUGAAUCAGUGAGUCUCUUUCUGUUUCAAGUACUGAUUCAGCAAAGGGCCUAAGCCUACCCCUACUUAGGACAUCACUUAAGUGCUGUCCUGAACAGGAAUGUUUUCCUGAAUCCGGGCCUUAAUUAAUAGUGCUGUUUUCCUUUGACAUUUGCUGCAGUUGUCAAAGACUUGUGGUCACUACAGUGGAUUUUAAUUUCUAUUUUUGUUCUUACUGACUGUUUUCAGACUCUUUGGAGAUUGUGUGUUCGUUAGCAGGGGUCAGAAACUAACCUUUUCACUUGUCCCAAGAGACUAAGUGCUGCAGUGUCCAGAGCUUUCAAGCUUUCCAUUGAUCAUGUCAGAAGAAGCUGCAAUAGAAUCUGUCUAAUUUUAGGAAUAGUGGUAUUUAUAACAAUUUUUUCCACAGGAACACGCCAGCUUGCAGGACCCUAACUGGUGUCAGUUUGAUCAAGCUUUCCGAAUCGAAUUAAAAGUAGGAUUACUUUGUUGGGGUAAACUUUAGGAGGAUUAGCUAUUUUAUCAAUGCCCUGUAUAUGUAUUAAGCAUUUAUGUACCUGUCUAUUGUAAAGCACCUUAUUGUGCGAUAUAAACAGGGGUCUCAAAUGUUCAGUAUGGAUCACAUUUCAUUACAAAGGGUAUCUUCCCUCCGCCCCCAUUUGCAAUCUCCUAACAUCUCUGUGGCAACUACAUUGGAUAAGUCAUGCUAGGGGAACAUUUAAUUCAUGUUUAGCUGUCUUUUAAUGCAGUGCAACAGGUGGAAAUGAGGAGAGCCAGCACCAUGUGGCCAGCAAGUAAUUUCUCUAGAGCCUUGUAAAGCUGUAAAAACUUUUGUGUGUAGACGGGUAUCAUGAAAGCAGUACAACCACACCCUAGUAUGGAUAUAGUUGCACUGGUAUAAAGGUGCUUAUGCCAGUAUAGCUUUUUUAUAUGGGAAGGGGAAUAGAGGUGUAUCCCUAUAAGGCAACUUUAUACAUACUCAUAGGCUUUCAGGCCAGAAGGGACCAACAUGAUCAUCUUGUCUGACCUCCUGCACAUUGCAGGCCACAGAACCUCACUCACCCUCUCCUGUAGUAGGCCCAUAACCUCUGGCUAAGUUACAGAAGUCCUCAAAUCUUGAUUUAAAGACUUCAGAUGUAUAACUGUGUCUACGCUAGGUGGGUUGUACUGGUGUAAUUAUAUUGAUUGACACCCCCCUCCCCACCCCCCCAACCAACCAAGAUUGGUACAAAAACUGUGUGCAGACCGGGCCUAAAAGUGUCAGUAUAGACCGUAACCUCUGUCUUAGUUUUAUCCCUUAGAACCUUGUCUGGAACUUCUAGGAGGUUUCCACCAUCCCUUUUUUAACCCCAUUCUUCAAACUCUGCAUGCAUUUGAGCUCUGGUUGUGAAUAGGAUAAAUAUGGCCAGGGACUUCCUGGGUGACUUGCACUGGUUGAAGGCAAAUGGCCCUACCUCCUUUCUUAGAUUAAUUGUAUGUAACUGCCCAACUUGAGUGUUGCAUUGAUAACUUAGCAGGAGUCCUCCCCAUUUCAAUAAAAGUCAUUGCACAGCUGUUUUUCUCUUUAAUAUGAUAGUAUAACUGUGUGGAGACUAAAAGCAGUGCAAUCUGUUCAAGGUGGAGCACUGUAUAUGCUGGGAUUUGUGGGUGUUGCAGCUCCAGAAUAAAGAUGGAGGCGCAUGUUUUAAAACUCCAUGAGCCGCACUCAGUCAAUGCUUAGUUUAGAUACAUUGCUUGCAUAUCAGUAUUGUCUAGUAUAUAUUAGAUUGCAAACCAUUCAAUAGCUGUUUUCUAAACUUCUUUUGUUUAAGGACCUUGGGUCUGUUUGGAUGUGUCUUUAUCUUAAGCAUUGAUACCAGUAAGGGGCAAUAAAUGUCAGGUAUUUUCAUGAUGGAAUAGAUUGAUAUAGAUGGAAACUCAUUAUGAGAUUCCAAAUGGUUCAGCUAUUAAAAUUUCUGUGCAGAGGUAGUUGAAGGCAGUCUAAUUGCCUCCCUGCCCACGUUCUUCAUUAGCAUGGACUUUCACUAGGCAUUUCAUUACCUACCCCCCCACCCACAGCUGAUUGUUCAGACUCCAUUUCUGUUAUUAACUGAAUAGGUCACAAGCCACGUAGAUGCAGUCUCUUUGCUAGUUAGAACCAGAACUACAUACUAGGAGGCCUUUUUUCUAAAAUUAUGCCUGUGAAUGUACUUUACUAUUGCAACACACCCAUAAAAGCCUUAAAUCCCUUCUCCAAACUGGUUCUUUUGAAUAUCAUAAAAUACAGAUUGACCCUAUGUGGGGCUGCAAGAGAGGCUUGUCUGUAGUGCUCAUCAUGUCUUAGAGUAUGUCACCAGCAUUGAAGAACUUAUCUUCUUAAUGCCCUUCUGAGUUAGGGAAAUUAUCCCCAUUUACAGAUGAAGACUUGAGGCACAGAGAGAUGAGGUGAAUUGGCCCAGGUCCUACAGGAAGUCUUUGCCUGCAUCCUCACUGGAAACGCAGCUUCCAGCCUGAGUUCAAAUGAAGUCUGGGCUUUAACCCAUAUCCCCAGCCACACAAGCCAGAUCAGGUUUAUAGCACCUCUCCAGUCUUGGGUCAGAGGCUUUUCAGUGUGGACAAUUACGGGAAUCUCAGGUUAAUUGUAUAGUAUAGACAUAUGCUGAGUGGCUGAGCGAGGAACUGAAUCUAGAUUCCCAGAACAUAGGUCAUAGUUCACUGCUAGUCUGUCGUAUAGCUCUUUAAUCAGUUCUUCCAAAGCAAAUGUAAGAAAAAAUAAUCAGUUAUGGUUGUAUGAAGGGCAAAAAUUAGACCGCAAGACCCUUUCUGGUGGUCAGAUGUAUUUUUUUAAAAAACCCACCUCUAAAAACGUAAAACAGCAUUUGUUUUUGUUUUUGUUUUACAAGUUGAGGGUUGGGGAAGAGAAGGAAAGGUAAUACGUUGUUCAGCUGUGUGCGGUUUUAAAAACUUUUAAAAGUCGGGAGAAAGGAAAUGAGAAAAACUUCUCAGGGAAGUGAGUUCUUCACUCCAGGCCCUGAGACAAGGAAGGCUUGCUUAUAUACCACCAAGAAGUGGGUGGUGUCUGACUGCAGCUGUGUAUUGGGUCAAGGCAAUAAUCUUGAAUACAGCCAGGGUCUGUAUUUUAAAGACCUUGAAAAACAAAAAAGGAAAAAAAAAAGUAAUUUAAAAAUAUUAGACUGAAAAAUAUUCCAAGGGAAAUGGUGGCAAGUCCCAUAGUUCAAGUCGUUUAUAACUAGAUUGGGAAAAGACCUGGAGAAUACAGUGUAGCAACACUUGAAUUAUCAUAAGGAGGGGUGGUACAGAUGGCCACUAGGUCUCUUCUGUGUCCAGCUCCUAGGGGCUUGUCUACACUUAAAACACUGCAGCAGUGCCUCUGUAGUGCUUCAGUGAAGACACUACCUACGCCGACGGAAGAGGUUCUUCCAUCGACAUAGGUAAUUCACCUUUCUGAGAGGCGGUAGCUAAGUUGAUGAAGGGUAUGGCUACACUGGAAACUUCAAAGCGCUGUUAUGAGAGCGCUCCCGCGGCAGGGCUUUGAAGUGUGAGUGUGGUCGCGCAUGAGCACUGGGAGAGAGGUCUCCGAGCGCUCCUGGUAAUCCACCUCCACGAGGGGAUUAGCUCUCAGCGCUCGGAGCCUGUUUACACUAGCGCUUUAAAAUGCUCUGACUUGCUGCCCUCAGGGGGGUGACUUUUCACACUCCUGAGCCAGCAAGUUAGAGCGCUAUAAAAUGUAAGUGUAGCCAAGCCCGAAGGAAUUCUCUCAUUAACCUAGCGCUGUCUACAGCAGGGUUUAGGUCAGUUUAACUGCAUUGCUCAGAGGUGUGGAUUUUUCAUGCCCUUGAGCAAUGUAGUUAUGCCAACCUAAUUUCCUAAUGUAGACCAGGCCUACCAUUCUGUGAGGAGUCCUGUCAUGUCUUGUAGAGGAGCCAGUAUGAAGGGAAUACUGAGAGGCCUUUUCUGUGCUUUUUAGCAGCUGUAAAAGUAUUCAGACUCAAUUAGCUGUAAAUUUGUUCAACAAAUGUAAACAAAAGAGAAACUUGUUGCUGAUCAGUGUUUGAAAGGUUGUCAGUUGACAUGCAGAUGGCCUGUGUUCAUUAAGUUUACAUAUUAAACAUAUGGUCUGAUAGGCUUCUGUUCCUAAUUCCUAGGAAGUAUUUAUGUAAGAAGAAGAUGCAUACUGAUUGCAUGUUAAAAGACUCUUGCGGUUGAAUUUUAGUGCGCCUGACAUUUUGUUCCUUUUUAUCUCUUGGCAAUGUGUUUCGGGAAGUUCUCUAUUAAAAAUAUGUAUCUACUUUUCACAUUUUUUUUCUAAAGCAGUUAUACCUCUUGUCACACAUACGGAGAACCAGACUUCCAAAUCAUAAAUAUUCUGCAGCCUCUGUGUUAAUCCACCAAUCUGGAUUUGUCUGCUCUCAGGUAUCCUGAAAGAAAUCUAUUUCUUGGCACCUUGAGGUAUUAUAUAAUCACGUUGCCUGCUCUGAAUUCUUGCUUCAGUAGAAGCCCAGCAGCUGCAGUUCUGCCGAUCUCAUGGAAAGAGUCAGUAGAAAGAGUAGGAGAUGAUACACUUAUGCGUCCUUUAUUUUAUCAGUCCAGAAUUCUUUUAUGUCCUUUCUAGCAGUGGAAGAGUUGGGGCUUAGGGUCUCAGGUUUGUCGUCUUUGCUGAAUUGAGGAGUAAAGAGAAUGAAAAACCUUCAUGAUUUGCUUUCCAAUGUGCUCCAGAAUUAUCAGAAAGAGAGCCAAUAUCUGAGCUCUGGUCUUCCUCUGGUCCGUCAUUUAUCUCUGAUCCUCUCAGUCUGGAAUAUAACCCUUAAACACAGCCUUUUCAGAUCGACUCAGAGUUGAUGCAGUCACCUCCUAGCUUUUGACUUAAUUGGCCAAAUCUAUUGAUAUGCAUUGUCUUGAGAAUUACAUCCCUGCUGAAAAACAGUUCAAGCAAGCCUGUCAGCAGUGACAAAUCUUGUCCUGUUAUAGCCCUUCUAAAUGUGAGAAGACAGCUCAGGGGGAGCAGAGCCUUUAGAAUAUUCAGCAACCUUUAGACUAUAAGUCAUGUGUCACCUUUUAAAAUGAAGUUCCAGGCCUAGGGUGACCAGACUGCAAGUGUGAAUAAUUGGGACUGUGGUGGGGGUAAUAGGUGCGUAUAUAAGACAAAGCCCCAAAUGUUGGGACUGUCCCUAUAAAAUUGGGACAUCUGGUCACCCUAUCCAAGCCUUUUCUGUAGAGUAAUUCUACAAGAUUUAGGGGAAUGUCCAGUAGGCUUCUGUUAACAGGGAAAGUGAAUGUUACUGACUUGAGGGUUUUAGGCAAACUCUUAAAGUUACAGUUUUGGAAAGUAUGUAUUGUAAUUUUAACUGGGUUUUUAUUGAAAUUGUGUAUGAAGGAAACCUGUUUAAUGAAUUUGUUCUGGUAGGUUCUUCAAAUUUGAACUCAAAAGAUCUGUUGCUAUGGUCACUGUCUUUCAAUUAGCCUUUCAUCAAGGGUCUGGGGAUUUUAAAGGAAGGAGUGUCUCUGAGCAGGGGACGGAGAGUCUGGACUUUUGACUCUGACCUAGACCACAGCAAGGCAAGGGCAAAUAGAUGUAUUAACCUCUCUCUACAUUGGUAUCCUCCUUCUGUAAAAUAACCAUUCCACCUCGCAGACCUAAUGGCUUGACAUUGUGUUUUGGGAUCCACAGGUGAAAGGAGGUGGAGAAUUGCCUAGAGUUAAAAACUACCUCUGAUCCCUGCUGCCUUGCUAAACUGAAAAGCUUUUCAGGGUGGUGUCAACUUUUGGGUGUCAGUCUGGAUUACACUCAAAAUUUAGCAUUAUUGAAAUGCUUUCCACUUUUUAAUACUCCAGGUAAUAAUAGUUAAAUAAAUCAUUCUAUAAACAUACUGCAAGUUCUUCUGUCUUCUGGUUUUCCCAGGGUGCCCCCUCUUCUGAACCUGUCCUUUAGAUUAUAAUCCCUCCAUGGUGGGAAGUGCCUUAUUAGUUCUGCAGAGUUCUGAGCGUGCUAUUGCACUUGACAAAUAAUUUAUAAUAGAUCUCUCCAAAGGGCUCCCUCUUAUCCACUGAACUAUCCAGUUAAUUAUGUAGUAAUGCCCUGUUGGUUGCAAAUUCUAAUAAGCUUUAAAAUGGUGUAGGCUUAGGGUUGUAUGUUACUUGUUUGUUUAUUUAUAAGACCCACUUCUGCUUCAAAGCUACAAGAAAUUAGACGAUUAUGGCUAAGUAGAAGAACAGUUGGGGAUAGGUUAUACAUACAAAGGAAAAAAAAUACAGCUAAUAAUCUCUCGUAGAUGAUGGAAUUAACAAUGUGUGUAUCACGCAUCAUGUUGGCCAUUCUGUUUAUAUGUAGUAACCCAUUCACCCACCCUUCUUUGGUUUUAUAGAUUUAAAGGUCUUUGAGGUAGGGCAGUGAUAUUCAGGGCUUGUACACAGUAGCACUUACCUCGGGGAUAAUUUAAGUCGCUCAGGGGUGUGAAAAAACCACCUCCCUGAGCAAUGCAAGUUACGCAGACCUGAGCGCUGAUGUGAACCGCGGCCAGCAUAACUACUGCCGCUUGAGGAGGUGGAGUAAUAACGCUGAUGGGAAGGCGCUCUCCCAUCGUUACUAGCAGUGCAGCUGGGUCGGUACAGCCUGUGCCACUGCAGCGAUUCUAGUGUAGACUAGCCCACAGAGUGUGAUUCUCGAGCUGCACGUGGUUCUUUAAUGUGUCUCCUGUGGCUCCUUGCUGCACAUGGUAGUAAAACACUGCGUGAUUUAAUUAACAACCAAUCAGGAUGCUUUUACUACAUUAUUAACCUAUUGUAGAUGAUAAAAUAAUACUUGGUCAGUCAUUUUGCUGUGAGAAUAAUCUGUGUAUAUAUAUAUAAAAUAUAUUUAGGGAUAGAGAUAAUACUUAGGCCCGCCUUGAGUCAGGGGACUGGAUGAGAAGACCUUUCGAGCUCCCUUCCAGUCCUAUGGAUUCUAUCGAUAUAUCUAUAUAAACCAGAUAUUUCCCUUUUCAUCCUGUUUAAAUAUGAUUAUAAAGCACUAUAGUAAAGGUCUGAGUAUCACUAGGGUAGGGAUUGUCUUGCUAUAAGUUCAUUAUUUAUUUUUAUUUAUAUUACUGUGGUGCCUAGUUCAGUGCCUAAAACAUUGUGGGGGCUUCCCCAGUAUAAAUAUUUAUUUCUCUAGCAGCUAACAGACAGAAAAGAAGACAUAGUCCCGGCUCUGAGGAGCUUGCAAUCCCAGGCUUCAAUCCUGCAAAAAUUUAGAAACGUGUUUAAUUUAAUUUGUCUUUGAUGGGACUGCUUGCGUGCCUGAAGUUCAGCACACACAAUAGUCAUGUGAAAGAGCUGUAAGUGAAGAGACCUGAUCAACACAAUAUCAUGGAGUACGUAUUGGUAUGGCUUGGCACGCAUAGCAUGUACUGGAUUUGUUUUAAAUGGUUUUCCUAUAACAACUUUGAUUUUUUUUUUUUUUCAAUUAAUAGACAGGAAUGCAAGGAGACAAGUAGUGGAAGAAGGGAAGCUGAAAGAAGUGAGCUGUUAAGGCAGAGAGAGGGCAAAAGUGGUGCACUGAAUCAGAGAGGGCACCCCAACUAUAGAGAGGAAUGUAGGAAAAGGUGUAGAGAUGCGAAUGGGAGAAGACAGUGUCUGAUAGGUGAAGAGAUUGGUAGUGUUACUUCCUGCAAGGAUUUGGGCCCAGAAGCACUGAAGCCAUACUUUUCAAUGUAACUGGGGCGAUUAAAAUGACAGUGCAGAGCCUUACUGUUAAACAUUUUGUCUGUGUCUAUCCUCCUGGGUUUACACAAAGAAUGUGUAAAUUAUGGCUGCUUCAGCAGGACAGAGCAAUGAUGCUGUAAUGCUUGUGUGUGCAUUUGAGACUGGAUGGAGUUCACAAAAUUUAAUCCUCUAUUCUCUGUCUUUGAGGGUAGGGGAGAGAUUUUAGCUGAGUGUUUUUUUCUUUGAAUUCUCUUGCUCUUUUGAGCUCUCCUGGGUUUUCCACUGGGCUCCUUAUAGUUUAGGAAUAAAAUGAUCUGAGCAAAUUGGAACAGUAACAUCAGCAAUAGACUUCUGUGUUAGUACUAACUAUCUCUACUGAGCUAGUGCUGCUAGUGUCUGUUUUGGUUUCCUAAUCAGAAAGGUUCGUCCCUCUAUUCUUAUAUAUGUUCUAGAGCAACACGAUGCAAUUCACUACCCAUGAUAAUUUUCUUGCCUUCACAGAUAUAAUUCGGGUUUUAAAAUGCUUAAUUUGGAAAAUUCCCACUGAUUUCCCUUGCUCAACUCCCUAAGUAAUUUCCUGGUGUGAGAAAGCCAGUUAAACCAAUAGGCUAUGUCUCAUCUUAGUGUUUGCCCCUGUUUUGGGCCGUUAUUUGUCCAUUUCAUAAUUUUCUUAGUUCUGAGAGGCUAUGAAAGUUGAAAAAAGGAGUCUGAAUUAGGUCCUGAAAGACCCUCCAAAAUAUUUGCAAUCACAGCAAAGCUCUGAACCUACAUACUCUAGGGCCUGGUCUAGAGUACAAAGUUGUGUCAAAGUUGCCUUUUCCACCACAGGCUUGCAUAUGUCCACACCCAAAUUUCACUCCUACCACCAUAGCCCAGACUUUGUCACCAGAAUAAAACCACCUCCCUGACAACUCAAGUCCUCAGCCAAUGUACUUCCACUGGCAAAAUGCCAGCAUGGACACCACAUUACCUGUGCUGGUAAAACAGACCUUUUCCCCUCACCCCACUAUCCCUCUGGAUUCCUUGCCCCUGCUUGGCGGGGACCCCCCCCCCUCCUCCAAUGUGAUGGGACAUGUUGUGAGAUCCAGAGGAGAGAACCUCGGCAGUGCCCAGCAAGGAUGAACUCAUAGAAGAGGGGGAUGCAGACCCCAUGGAGGGCCAGAACAUGAUUCAGACAAGCGACAGCGAGGAAGGGGAAUGGAGCACAGCCUUCUUGGCCAGGCUAUCCUUAAGAAGCACCCCUUGCACAGCUGCUGAAAGGCUGGCAUUGAUCAGGAGAAGAAAGAAGCGGACAAGGGAGGAUAUGUUUUCAGAGCUUCUCCAACUCUGAGGCUGCUGACUGGGAGAGUAGCGAUUGGAGGGUAAUGCAUGAUGGAGACUGGGCAGAAGGACCAGAACUGGAAUGAUCAUAUGCUCAGAGAAGGCAGAGGGACUGAGAGGUGCAUCAGGAAAUGCCCCAGGACAUUGACUCUGCUCAGACAACAAAUACAGAUGUUGCAUAAUAUUAUGGAGCAAAAUGCCCAAAGACCUCCCUAUCAGCUUUUUGCACUCAGUAGACAAUUUGAUGUUCACAAUACCACACCCCAAACAAGGCACGAGCAUAGCCUGCCGUCUUAUCCCUACCACUCAACAGUGGUGGAAACAAGGAAAACUAUGACUAUACAUACCCAGAUCUGCUGGAUCAGUCAGCAAGCGCCUAGCUCUUUAUUUUUUAAUAUACAGUAUACAAUAAAAGUGUAAAGCUCAUAAGGUUUUUAUUUAAGGUUUCAUAAGUGUUGAUAAUGCUCAGUAAAAAUUAUUUUUUGAAAAACCAGUCUGUUGGGUAAGGUUUAGGACUAAAGGGCUACCCCUCCCACUAAAUUCAUAAUAGGCAUUUAUAAAUCAUUUAAAAAAAAAAAUUUAAACCAAUGACACACAAGCACCACACUGCAAUACCAUGGCAUACCUUAGUGAUCUUUUAAGGCCUCCUUCAGCCAUACAGCUCCUCAACAGGCUUGUGUGUCGGGCUGUUCAUAAUCAGCAGGCAGUCUUGCCACUUCACCCCUCCACCUUGCUGGUAAUGUUUCCCCCUUUGCUUCACAAAUAUGUUGUAAUUUGCAACCUUCAGCAAAAACAAUAGGAAUAUUUACUUGGCUGCAAUCCACCGUUGGCGUGAGGGAUCACCAAUGUCCUUUCAGUCUACCAAAUGCGUGUUCAACAGUUGUCCUGCACCCACUCAGUUAAAUCUCUCUUUGCUGUUGUCCAGAAGUCCAGUGUAUGGUUUCAGGAGCCAGAGCUGCAAAGGGUAGGGUGGGCCCCCAGAAUCACUGUUUGGUGUUUCAACCUUACCAAUGUGAACAUACUGGUUUAGGAGGAAUGUCCCUGGCUGCAUCUUUUGGAAACAUCCUGUACUCCUAAAGAUGCGAGCAUCAUGCACCUUUCCUGACCAGCUAGUGUUAAUGUCAGUGAACUGUCCUCAGUGAUUCUCCAGCUCUUACAUAACGAUGCUAUUUAAGUAUUUGGAAUUAAGACGGGGGGAGGGAGAUGCAAUAUUGGGAUGUGUCCUAUCAAUUACCCAACCACAGUUUGGAAAGACCCUUUCUUCCAAUCUGUAUAUUUCCUGCGCCUUGCCGGAGUGUCUCAAUCCAGUGCAGCAGGAGGUGCUAAUGGCCGUGCACAGCUGGAUGACAACUACCUCACCAUGGAUUUUCCAGUCCUGAACUAAUUACCCACUGAUCAACAGCAGUUCUGGCUUGCAGAUUUCCGGAAAGCGAUCACCACCCACUUUUCCACUGUCAAAAUAGCUCUCUUUCUGGUGUCUCUGCCUACAGAUCCAGGAAUGUGACAGUCUGCAUCUGAAUGUUCUGUAGCCACUACCGAUCUCCACCAUCCAUUGUUCAUUUCUCAGGCCCACAUGUACCCCUCCAUCAUAUAGUGCUGAGCAGUGAAUGCUUACAACAUCCUGUGACCUUUUUUUUUUUAAAAUGCACUGUUUGCACCAUC
Molecule: long non-coding RNA, 11258 nt
Organism: Chelonia mydas (Green sea turtle)
Lineage: Eukaryota; Metazoa; Chordata; Testudines; Cheloniidae
Exons: 2
Source: RefSeq, a predicted model, not a curated record